Molecule: long non-coding RNA, 2189 nt
Organism: Seriola aureovittata
Lineage: Eukaryota; Metazoa; Chordata; Actinopteri; Carangiformes; Carangidae
Exons: 2
Source: RefSeq, a predicted model, not a curated record
UGCAUUCAGCGCUGCAGAUAUUUUGCACAUCCAGCCACUAAUCCUGACUUCCAAAAGCAAAUUUCUGAUACCAUUAACUCUCCUUCGACAAGCCUCCAGUCCCGUGAGAUGACGGAGAGAAACAUGGAUGUGUAGAGUCGGAAAUCAUGACUGUGCCAAGCAGCUUCUUCCUCUCUGAAUCUGCACCUCGACAGCUUUCCACUAGUGUUCCCUGCUGUGGGAAGAAAACGCUGACGAAGCAGGAGAGAAGCGCACAGCUCUCCCUGAGAGCUGGAACGCCGACCGCGCGAGAGACUACGGGGAAUAUCAGGAAGCCAACAGUGAGUCCUUCCAUGGGACGACGUGGAAGCUGGUCAUCAUCAUGAGCUGACGUUGAUUUACUCUGAUUCACCUCCAUUACCUGGAACAGUUAAGAUGACUUUGCAAUAGUGUGUGUGUGUGUGUGUGUGUGUGUGUGUGUGUGUGUUGAACCGUAGCUUCCAGGGAAAAGAUCAACUCAGAGCCAGGUUUUUUAGUUUCAAGUAAAUUUUUGUUCAGUUGUUUAAACAUCCCACUUUGACACAGCGGGGUCAGAUUACCCUCCUUUCUCAACCCGCCUGUCUCCACCCAGAACGGCGUCGCUCCCGCCCAACACUCUCUGACAGCUCAUGACACAAUGUGCUCUUACAGUCUCUCACUCGAGUCAAGCUUACGACACACUGUCCACAGCAGUUUACGCAGUUGAAUGUGGGAUGAUUUGGUAACUUCAGCCCCUUUCACCCUCUUUCUUUUCUUUCUGAGGUUGGGUAAUCGAACCUCCGUCACCAAGAGCUGUUUUUCCACGCUGCUGUUGGCACAGACUCUCGGGUCUAAGCCAAGUCACAGGUCCGUCACUAGUCCAAGUCCUCUUUCUUGCAGUUGGAGGAUUUGACACUAAAAGAACGAUCAGAAUUGGAGUAGCACAGUUUCCUUUUCGUUCUGUACUGAGGUUCACGUCUGUUUCCAAACACACGUCCCAUAAUGCAACUUGAUUCUGUCGCUACACCCUCCCUUUUUAAGCGGUGCACAUGAGUAGUUUGAAAGAAUUUAUUGCAUUCACUAGUUUUAAAAUGUUUAUAUUUGGAAGUUUCUCUUGAUUCAUGAACGGAGCAGACCUGCUGCAGGAGUCACGUACAGGUUUAAUGAUCCACUGACGUGCUAACUCACUGUGGAAUAUGUAUUAGGUUGAUGUGAGGGACGGCGCCUCCAUGACUGUUACCCCCCCUCGUCUUCUCCCACAUAUUUAAUAUGACUUCUGACAUGAAGCUUCUGUCGACUCCUGGCUGAUAUUUUUGUGAAUGAAACUUAUCAACAAAACUGAACUGUCAAGUCAUUUAGGAGCAUUAAAUAUAUUGAACAUGUCAGUGAAGCGGAAACAAGCAGUUUGACCGGACAUCACACGCCUGUUAUUACAGCAGUAAUCCUCCUCGUCCGUCUGGUUUAUUAACAGCUUCUUUUACUGGUCACAUGUUUACCAGGCCAAAACUUGACCUGUUGACUUUAUGUUUUGGGUUUAAAGUCUUCAGCCCUGUUUUUACAAUCUAAUCUAAUUUAGUUAAUUUGAUUCAGAAGUGAAAUAUACAAUUCAUUAUAAACCUGUUCAAAGUCAGUUUUUACGAUGUGUAUAAUAUUCUUUUUCCACACUGUCACACGUAUGUUUUAGUGGUGGUGGUAAUCGUGUCGUAAAUCAGCUGUUAUGUAAGAGUGAAUGGAUGGGAGACGGCGCUGCAUGUUGUUACACUGCUGCUGCUGCGUCGCCCUGCGUGACGGCUGCGUCUGGGCUUUAGCUGCUCUGUGAGUGUGCUGCCCACAGGAAGUUCCCACUGCUCUGGCUAUCAGGGCGGAAAAUGAGUGUUUGUCACCCACUUUGGUCACAACUCUCUCUCUCUCUCUCUCUCUCUGUCACUCACACACACUCACACAGACCAUGGAUCGCCGCCUCACAUCCCCUUUCCCACACAGCAGCAGCGGCAGACUCAGAGGGAUCUAACUGUUUAAUUGAGCCUGAGGUGUUGGAUUAUUGUGGAUGUAGUUUUAGGAAGUGAGCUCAAAUUAUUUCAUGAGAAAGUUUUUCUUUGCCGUCAAUUUGACAUCUGGGUCGUUUGGUUGUUGACUUUAAUCUCAACUGUGUCUCAUGUUGAAAUGGAAUAAAUGGAGCGUAAACGAUGAGA